RNAcentral lists this ribosomal RNA (478 nucleotides) under uncultured bacterium. RNAcentral describes it as "partial 16S ribosomal RNA". It matches the Rfam family "Bacterial small subunit ribosomal RNA", at positions 28 to 523 of the family's 1533-position model. The record is from RNAcentral.
GACGAACGCUGGCGGCGUACUUAACACAUGCAAGUCGAACGGUAAGGCCCUUCGGGGUACACGAGUGGCGAACGGGUGAGUAACACGUGGGUGAUCUGCCCUGCACUUCGGGAUAAGCCUGGGAAACUGGGUCUAAUACCGGUUAGGACCACUGCCUGCAUGGGUGGUGGUGGAAAGCUUUUGCGGUGUGGGAUGGGCCCGCGGCCUAUCAGCUUGUUGGUGGGGUGAUGGCCUACCAAGGCGACGACGGGUGGCCGGCCUGAGAGGGUGACCGGCCACACUGGGACUGAGAUACGGCCCAGACUCCUACGGGAGGCAGCAGUGGGGAAUAUUGCACAAUGGGCGCAAGCCUGAUGCAGCGACGCCGCGUGAGGGAUGACGGCCUUCGGGUUGUAAACCUCUUUCAGCACCGACGAAGCGCAAGUGACGGUAGGUGCAGAAGAAGGACCGGCCAACUACGUGCCAGCCGCCGCCGUAA